AAAUAUUAAUAGUUAUGUUCUUAAAAUUUAGAGAAUUUGGCGGUGUUUUAGUCUGUUUAGAGGAACCUGUUUCGUAAAUGAUAAACCUCAAAAUAUCUUACUUGUUAUAAUAGCUUGUAUACCGYCAUUAUUAGAUAAUUUUUACAGAAAAAAUUAUUGGAGUAGGAGUGUGUCUUAGAAUAUUAGAUCAAGGUGCAGCUUAUGGGCAAGGGAAAAUGGGUUACAAUAGGAAUUUAGUUACAACGGAGUAGUUUUUGAAAAAAAAUAUGAAGGGGGAUUUAAUUGUAAUAUAAGUUCAAUAAGCUCGCAUGAUAUUAGCUCUAAAUUAUGUACACA
This 336-nucleotide ribosomal RNA is filed under the name Pseudodromia rotunda. RNAcentral describes it as "partial 12S ribosomal RNA". The record is from RNAcentral. Lineage: Eukaryota; Metazoa; Arthropoda; Malacostraca; Decapoda; Dromiidae.